AAGACUAUAGACCUGCGGAGUACCUGCGGAGGGAUCAUUACUGAGUGAGGGCCCUCUGGGUCCAACCUCCCACCCGUGUUUAUCGUACCUUGUUGCUUCGGCGAGCCCGCCUCACGGCCGCCGGGGGGCAUCUGCCCCCGGGCCCGCGCUCGCCGAAGACACCAUUGAACGCUGUCUGAAGAUUGCAGUCUGAGCAGAUUAGCUAAAUCAGUUAAAACUUUCAACAACGGAUCUCUAGAU
RNAcentral lists this unclassified non-coding RNA (240 nucleotides) under soil metagenome. Its description in RNAcentral is "partial contains 5.8S ribosomal RNA, internal transcribed spacer 2, and large subunit ribosomal RNA". The record is from RNAcentral.